UGACUGGGAUCAAUUAUGUUAUAUGUCAAGAUAUAAAUUUACUGAAUUGUUCUUUUUUAAUGAAAACUGGUCAAAACUUACAGGAAUGGCCCCAUUAUUACAGAAUCCCCAUCCAGAUAUUCAGUCAGAAUCUAAAGUAUUGUUUGGUGCAUCACUACACUGAAUCAAAAACAAUAAAUGUGAUGGACAAAGUAAGCUUGUGAUGAGAAAAGAUGUGAGACUGAUGUGAGACUGUCAUUUCACUGUUACCACAAUGGGAACUUGUGACUUCCUCAUUUUUAAGUGUUGCAGAAUGUUUAAAAAGCAGCACAACUCUGACGGAGCUUCACUUCUCUGUUCAUCUUUCAUCUACCUGCUCCAAAGACCUGCAGAAAAUUUUCUGCCUCUCCUGACAAACACAGAUGGCUGUAGUCCUGACUCUCCUUCUCAGUGUCUGUCUGCUGCACGGUGCCCUGUGUCAAACAUUUCAGUCAUUUGUGCCGCCGACUAUAGAGGUUCUGAGUGGAUCCUGUGUGACCAUCCCCUGCUCCUUUGAUAUACCGGACAACUUUAAAUCACUCUUAGAUAGAUCAUGUAGGAUAUUGUGGAAG
This is a long non-coding RNA of Centropristis striata (black sea bass), 590 nucleotides long. RefSeq lists it as uncharacterized. The record is from RefSeq and is a predicted model, not a curated record. The transcript has 3 exons. NCBI's taxonomy places the organism in Eukaryota, Metazoa, Chordata, Actinopteri, Perciformes, Serranidae.